Long non-coding RNA from Zonotrichia leucophrys gambelii, 1625 nucleotides. RefSeq lists it as uncharacterized. The transcript is spliced from 4 exons. The record is from RefSeq and is a predicted model, not a curated record. NCBI's taxonomy places the organism in Eukaryota, Metazoa, Chordata, Aves, Passeriformes, Passerellidae.
AGACGGGUGAGGACAGGCUUUUACCAACGGGGCUCCUCCUGGUCCCCAGGAUUGGUGUGGAGCCGCUGACAGGACAUCGCACACAGCGGAGGAGAGCUGCUCCUGCAGCCCCAGCCUGGGAUCCGGGCAAGGAGCAGAGGCUUUAAAUUUAAAUGGACAAAAUGAGUAAAGGAUAGCAAGUGAACAUUUCUAGCAUCCCAUGAGGUUCUGGGGGUUGAAGCCACCACCAGCAGAGUCAAAAGACUUUCUGGAGGUUUUUUUAGCUCAGCCUUUGGAAACCUGGGCGACAGAAGAGGUGGCUGUAGGUGUUGGAAAGCACUUGGGGUCAGCUUUGCUCAUGGAUGUCCUGUGUAACUGGGUAAAGUCACUGAAUGCCUGAAGAGUGGAAGCUGAGGCAGUUAGCUGAAACAGCACUGGUCCCUGUCAGAUCAGGACUGGACCCACCAUUCCCUGCCUGAGCCCUGGAGAGUGGAAGAAGAACCACAAAUAUGUGCAGGAAAAAAAAAGCACAAACAAAACCACAUGCAGGCACAAGAAGGGAAAUGAACAAUGGUGGGAGAUAACCUGGAUGGUGAAUUUAAAACCACUAGCAAAUACUCUUCUCCAAAAGGUUGGAUGGCUUUUUAGCUCAAAAAAGGAAGGUAGGAGGGUGAUAGGACCUGGUCAAGCUCACCUGCUUGCCUCUGCGGAAAAAGCCUUUCAUUGUGCUCUGCUCUUGGAAAUACUUUCACACAAGUUGCAAAGUUGAAAACUUCAAGUUUCACUCCCAGCAGGACAUAUGAAGGGAUCUGCCACUGCAUUCUUGGUACUUUUCAUCUGUGUCCCUAGGACAUGGACACAUGGCCAUGCCUAAGGCUGGGAGCUGGUUAUAAAAGUUCCCCCUGGCUUCUCCAGCCCACCCUUAAUCAGUGGCUUCCCUGCCUGCUCUGGGCCAGGGGCUCCUUGGGCAGGCAUUUGGCUCGGAGGUGACUCUCAGGAGCAGUGGGUGAGCACAGUGAGGAAGCUCACAGGUUUUUGGUGCAGCUCAAGCAACCAGCAGCCCCUCAGCCCUGGCAGCGGCACAUGCCGAGGAUGAAAGGCUGCGGUUCUGCCCAGCCAACUCACCCUGGAGAACUGAAGAGGUUUUCCUGAAACCCAGUAGGUUCCAGAAUUCCAGUAGGGAAUUCUGAAACUGGUGUCUUCCUACAGCUUCACACUGUGCAGUGAUAAAGAUAUCCUUAUUUUCCCUGUCCGUCUCCAAAGUGCUGCCCUGUCCCUCAUCCUUUGCCCACACUCUGGGCAGCUCUGAGCUCUGCGGACCAUUUCCCUUUCUCCUGGGGAAAAGAAAAAAAUAUUUUCCCAGUAUUUCUUACCUCGGAGGUCUCACCAAGAUGCAAAAUAACUAAACCGACGGGUUUAGUUUCGAAGACAGUCGCUGGCUCUUGCCGGCGCUGAGUUGGGGCCACCUCUGAGCGCUUUUCACGGGAGAAAAAGACAACGAAAUCCAAGCGCAGGAGGGGUUGCGGAGGGAGGUUACCUGCUCCACUGCUGGGGGCUGGCAGCGGCACCAAAGUCGCCCCGGGCUGGCCGUCGGCACUCGUGUUUUUUUUGGUUUUUCUCCUGGGAGGAAGCAGCAGUUCCGAGCA